RNAcentral lists this ribosomal RNA (430 nucleotides) under Pseudomonadota bacterium. Its description in RNAcentral is "Proteobacteria bacterium partial 16S ribosomal RNA". It matches the Rfam family "Bacterial small subunit ribosomal RNA", at positions 355 to 776 of the family's 1533-position model. Lineage: Bacteria; Pseudomonadati; Pseudomonadota. The record is from RNAcentral.
UGGGGAAUAUUGGACAAUGGGGGGAACCCUGAUCCAGCCAUGCCGCGUGUGUGAAGAAGGCCUUAUGGUUGUAAAGCACUUUAAGCGAGGAGGAGGGUACUGGUAUUAAUACUACCAGGUACUGGACGUCACUCGCAGAAUAAGCACCGGCUAACUCUGUGCCAGCAGCCGCGGUAAUACAGAGGGUGCGAGCGUUAAUCGGAUUUACUGGGCGUAAAGCGUGCGUAGGCGGCUAAUUGAGUCGGAUGUGAAAUCCCCGAGCUUAACUUGGGAAUUGCAUUCGAUACUGGUUAGCUAGAGUGUGGGAGAGGAUGGUAGAAUUCCAGGUGUAGCGGUGAAAUGCGUAGAGAUCUGGAGGAAUACCGAUGGCGAAGGCAGCCAUCUGGCCUAACACUGACGCUGAGGUACGAAAGCAUGGGGAGCAAACAGG